UACGUAGGGUGCGAGCGUUGUCCGGAAUUAUUGGGCGUAAAGAGCUUGUAGGCGGUCUGUCGCGUCUGCUGUGAAAAUCCGGGGCUCAACCCCGGACUUGCAGUGGGUACGGGCAGACUAGAGUGAUGUAGGGGAGACUGGAAUUCCUGGUGUAGCGGUGAAAUGCGCAGAUAUCAGGAGGAACACCAAUGGCGAAGGCAGGUCUCUGGGCAUUAACUGACGCUGAGGAGCGAAAGCAUGGGGAGCGAACAGG
RNAcentral lists this ribosomal RNA (253 nucleotides) under uncultured bacterium. RNAcentral's name for it is "partial 16S ribosomal RNA". It matches the Rfam family "Bacterial small subunit ribosomal RNA", at positions 524 to 776 of the family's 1533-position model. The record is from RNAcentral.